GAUGAACGCUGGCGGCGUGCUUAACACAUGCAAGUCGAACGAUGAAGCCCAGCUUGCUGGGUGGAUUAGUGGCGAACGGGUGAGUAACACGUGAGUAACCUGCCCUUAACUCUGGGAUAAGCCUGGGAAACUGGGUCUAAUACCGGAUAGGAGCGUCCACCGCAUGGUGGGUGUUGGAAAGAUUUAUCGGUUUUGGAUGGACUCGCGGCCUAUCAGCUUGUUGGUGAGGUAAUGGCUCACCAAGGCGACGACGGGUAGCCGGCCUGAGAGGGUGACCGGCCACACUGGGACUGAGACACGGCCCAGACUCCUACGGGAGGCAGCAGUGGGGAAUAUUGCACAAUGGGCGCAAGCCUGAUGCAGCGACGCCGCGUGAGGGAUGACGGCCUUCGGGUUGUAAACCUCUUUCAGUAGGGAAGAAGCGAAAGUGACGGUACCUGCAGAAGAAGCACCGGCUAACUACGUGCCAGCAGCCGCGGUAAUACGUAGGGUGCGAGCGUUAUCCGGAAUUAUUGGGCGUAAAGAGCUCGUAGCGGUUUGUCGCGUCUGUCGUGAAAGUCCGGGGCUUACCCCGGAUCUGCGGUGGGUACGGGCAGACUAGAGUGCAGUAGGGGAGACUGGAAUUCCUGGUGUAGCGGUGGAAUGCGCAGAUAUCAGGAGGAACACCGAUGGCGAAGGCAGGUCUCUGGGCUGUAACUGACGCUGAGGAGCGAAAGCAUGGGGAGCGAACAGGAUUAGAUACCCUGGUAGUCCAUGCCGUAAACGUUGGGCACUAGGUGCGGGGACCAUUCCACGGUUUCCGCGCCGCAGCUAACGCAUUAAGUGCCCCGCCUGGGGAGUACGGCCGCAAGGCUAAAACUCAAAGGAAUUGACGGGGGCCCGCACAAGCGGCGGAGCAUGCGGAUUAAUUCGAUGCAACGCGAAGAACCUUACCAAGGCUUGACAUGUUCUCGAUCGCCGUAGAGAUACGGUUUCCCCUUUGGGGCGGGUUCACAGGUGGUGCAUGGUUGUCGUCAGCUCGUGUCGUGAGAUGUUGGGUUAAGUCCCGCAACGAGCGCAACCCUCGUUCCAUGUUGCCAGCACGUAAUGGUGGGGACUCAUGGGAGACUGCCGGGGUCAACUCGGAGGAAGGUGAGGACGACGUCAAAUCAUCAUGCCCCUUAUGUCUUGGGCUUCACGCAUGCUACAAUGGCCGGUACAAUGGGUUGCGAUACUGUGAGGUGGAGCUAAUCCCAAAAAGCCGGUCUCAGUUCGGAUUGGGGUCUGCAACUCGACCCCAUGAAGUCGGAGUCGCUAGUAAUCGCAGAUCAGCAACGCUGCGGUGAAUACGUUCCCGGGCCU
This 1341-nucleotide ribosomal RNA is filed under the name uncultured bacterium. RNAcentral's name for it is "bacterial SSU rRNA". It matches the Rfam family "Bacterial small subunit ribosomal RNA", at positions 28 to 1381 of the family's 1533-position model. The record is from RNAcentral.